Molecule: long non-coding RNA, 885 nt
Filed under: Pan troglodytes (chimpanzee)
Lineage: Eukaryota; Metazoa; Chordata; Mammalia; Primates; Hominidae
Description: long non-coding RNA NONPTRT002001
Source: RNAcentral
CACGCAGAGGCUGCCGGGAAAUACAGGGAAGUUGGAGCCCCCUCUUCAUCAUGGAAUUUGGGGCAUCCCUGGUCUCCUGGUGGCUGUGGACUUGCAAAUACCCAGUUGUCCACAGACCUGUUGGCAAAUGGAUGUCCCGAGCGAGGGAGAUAUGCCUGGUGGGAAGGAGGAGUCCUGUGAAGAAUAGAGCCAGCUAAACACAGCAGAGAAGCAACAGAUGACAAAAAGCAACUGUCCAGAAGGCUGGCAGAACUGGGUUUGGGCCCAUGCUACGCAAUCCAGACAUGCCUGUAGCAUCCUUUGAAGGGACUCAAGUCUGUAGGCGAAAGUGUGAGUCUAGGAGCUGGUGAAUUUGCAUCCAGAGAGGGGGGGAUCUUGGGAAACAUGGAGAUACCCCCAUUUCUACACAUUUCAGUGUAGCUAAUUCAAGAUUGAAAAAGUAAGAAUGAAGUAUAUCUGAUUUUUCCAGUAAAAAAAAAAACCAUCAUAGCAUGUCAUCUGAAACUGCUGCUACUACAGAGAGAUUAGCAGGAUCUCAAAGUUAGUUAAGAUUGGUGGAGGGUCUCUUUACUGACGACCACAAAGCUAUUUAAAUGCAUAUGUUCAUGACAUACAGAAAGGUUAUUUGGAACUGGUUUCAGUUGAAGGACGGCCUUUUAGCUAACAGUUUACACUCAAUAUUGUCACCUCACUCCCUUUUCUCUCUCUUCCUCAGUCUUCCUCCAUCUCUUUUCCCAUUUUCUCUGUAUUUUUCUUUCUUUCUCAGUACUCUGUCUCAUAAAAUUGUUCAAUACUUUUCCUGGAUUAUUUAAGAAGUUAAUAAAAACUCUCUGUCUUCCCUUUAGUUAUUCAAAGGCUUUUAUUAAAUCGUUGAAGGAAAUAAAA